CGAGGCGAAGCUCGUAGGCUGGAGCGUUCAUAAAAGUGAAUGUCGGGGGUUCGAAUCCUUCCGCUUCGA
Molecule: transfer RNA, 69 nt
Filed under: Caudoviricetes sp.
Lineage: Duplodnaviria; Heunggongvirae; Uroviricota; Caudoviricetes
Description: tRNA-OTHER
Rfam family: tRNA
About the family: Transfer RNA (tRNA) molecules are approximately 80 nucleotides in length. Their secondary structure includes four short double-helical elements and three loops (D, anti-codon, and T loops). Further hydrogen bonds mediate the characteristic L-shaped molecular structure. tRNAs have two regions of fundamental functional importance: the anti-codon, which is responsible for specific mRNA codon recognition, and the 3' end, to which the tRNAs corresponding amino acid is attached (by aminoacyl-tRNA synthetases). tRNAs cope with the degeneracy of the genetic code in two manners: having more than one tRNA (with a specific anti-codon) for a particular amino acid; and 'wobble' base-pairing, i.e. permitting non-standard base-pairing at the 3rd anti-codon position.
Source: RNAcentral